AGGUCCUGCGAUAAAUGCGUUCCUUUACAAUUCACUCUUGACAGCAGCCGCCUGCACCGGCCAUCACCGCCCGUGGCGCCCCCUAGCGGUGACAAACGGAGCUGCCUUCCUGCAACCAACCCGCAACCCCCUUCCGACCCCAUCCUGGCAUUCACUUUGAUGUUUUACUUUUACUGCCUCUUGACGCUGGGGCUUCUGCUCGGGCUCUAUGAUGAUUUCUUUCCUGAAAUUAUAUUUUAACUGCCAGUCAGCCUUGGCAGCGCAAAUAAACCACCACACGCCGCACACCACCCACCACAACCGCCGGCCCAUCGUCUUCCCAACCAACCCCACUCUUCUCCAGCAGACCCAGCUCAACCACAUGGGGCUGGGCAAGUGCAUCAUGUUGCUGGGCCAUAAAAAGUAAUGACAGCUGAAGUUCUCCGGCUCGAUAUUGACGAACGACCAAGAAGGAUGAUGAUAAUCACGAUAAGUGCAAAAAGUACGGCUGCAAAUGAAUUGGGCCCUCAACAUACAUACAACAACAGAUUGUUAUCUCACCAAAUUCCAGCUUAAGCCAAAU
Molecule: non-coding RNA, 562 nt
Organism: Drosophila melanogaster (fruit fly)
Lineage: Eukaryota; Metazoa; Arthropoda; Insecta; Diptera; Drosophilidae
Source: Ensembl